AUAGAAGUGCUUGCAUAUUCAUGGUAUCAUUUUAGUAGGUGUUACCUCCUUUUAACUCCUGAGGAAAUGGUCUCAGAAAGAUGUAGCAAUUAGCUUUAGGUCACAGCUAGUAAGUAGAAGGGCAGACCCUCAACCUGAGGCUUCCUGAAGCCUGAGCCUAGGCUCUCCCCGGCAGCUGCAUUCCUGCACACCUGGCCCAGCAGGAGAAGGGCAGCUCUGCAUGCCUCCCUCCACAGCAGCCUGGAGCUGGCUUUGUGGCCCUGUGAGAACACAAAGCUCUGCCCAGCGCCUCGCUGUGCCUGCUGUGGGCCCUGUAGUGUCUGUCUCCCCAGUCCCGGCCCCUCUCACCUCCCAGCUCACCAGAGGCCCCCUUUACUUAGCCUCCCUUACUGGCCGGUUGCUUCGAUCAUCUGGCUUCUUACCUGCUAGCCAACAAGCGUGUGCCAAGCUCUACUCCUACAGUCUGCAAGGCUACAGGUGAGCUCCUCCCAGGGAGGGGAGAGGAGAGGCAGAAGAGAGAAGGCCUGGGUGUCAGGGAGGUGACAGUCAGUGGGAAGCGCUUGUGAUUCUCCUUUCCCACGGCCUCCCUUUCCCCAGCUGUUUCUUGGGAGCUAAGCGGGCCUGAGGAGACUCAGAGCCCUCUUCCCCCACUUCCAUCUUCCACAGCUGGCUGGAGGAGACACUGCCGCUCUGGGGCUCCCACCUGCUCACCGUGGUGCGGCCCAGCUGGCAGCUGGCCUGGGCUCACACCAAUGCCACAGUCAGCUUCCUUUCUGCCCACUGUGCCUCUUACCUUGCCUGGUUUGGUGACAGCCUCACCAGCCUCUCUCAGAGGCUACAGAUCCAGCUCCCUGAUUUUGUGAACCAGCUAUUCCGCUAUCUGAGAGAGCUGCCCCUGCUUUUCUACCAGAAUGUGCUGCUGCCAUUGUGGCACCUCUUGCUUGAGGCCCUGGCCCGGGCCCAGGAGCACUGCCAUGAGGCAUGCAGAGGUGAGGUGACCUGGGACUGCAUGAAGACACAGCUCAGUGAGGCUGUCCACUGGACCUGGCUUUACCUACAGGACAUUACAGUGGCUUUCUUGGACUGGGCACUUGCCCUGACACCCCAGCAGUAGGCCCUGCCUCCCUGGCCACUGAUUUCUGCGUGGGUAGACCAUCCAAGACUGCAGCGGGUAGAACGUGACAGUUCUUCAUGGGAGUCUUUUUAACUUGGUGCCUGAGUUCUCUCCUAGGCAAGUGGCCAGUUGCCUCCACCUCAGUUCUUCCAUCUUUGGUGGGGACAGGGCCCAGCGGCAUCUCAGCCUCCUACCCACAAUUCCACUGAACACUUUUCUGGCCCUACUGCACAUGGCCCCCAGCCUCCAUCCUUGUGCUGGUAGCCUCUCACAACUCCGCCCUUGCCCUCUGCCUUCCACUUCCUUCCAUCUCAUUUCUAAACCCCAAACAGCUCAUCUCUAAAAAGAUAGAACUCCCAGCAGGUGGCUUCUGUGUUCUUCUGACAAAUGAUUCCUGCUUCUCCAGACUUUAGCAGCCUCCUGUUCCCAUUCUUGGUCACAGCUCUAGCCACAGCAGAAGGAAAGGGGCUUCCAGAAGAAUAUAGCACCGCGUUGGGGAACAGCAGCCUCACCUCCACCUGAAGCCUGGGUGUGGCUGUCAGUGGACGUGGGGAGCUGGAUGGAAAUGUCUCUCACUUCAAAAUGCCCAGCCUGCCCCAAAUGCCUCUAAGCCCCUCCCUGUCCCCUCCCUUGUAGUCCUACUUCUUCCAACUUUCCAUUCCCCAUCAUGCUGGGGGGCUCGGUCACAAGGUUCAGCUUCUCUCCACUGUCCAUCCCUCCUAUCAUCUGGAGAGCAGAGCCCAGGUAGUUGUGUGCCUUGGGCCCAGGGAACCCUCCAUCAGCCUGAGACAGGACUCAGCAUAUGGUUCUUGGGUACACCCUACCAGGUGGAAUAAAGGACACAGAUUUG
RNAcentral lists this small RNA (1964 nucleotides) under Pongo abelii (Sumatran orangutan). RNAcentral's name for it is "retained intron". Lineage: Eukaryota; Metazoa; Chordata; Mammalia; Primates; Hominidae. The record is from RNAcentral.